Molecule: ribosomal RNA, 554 nt
Filed under: uncultured bacterium
Lineage: Bacteria
Description: bacterial SSU rRNA
Rfam family: Bacterial small subunit ribosomal RNA
Source: RNAcentral
CCUACGGGAGGCAGCAGUGGGGAAUAUUGGACAAUGGGCGAAAGCCUGAUCCAGCAAUGCCGCGUGAGUGAUGAAGGCCUUAGGGUCGUAAAGCUCUUUUACCCGGGAUGAUAAUGACAGUACCGGGAGAAUAAGCCCCGGCUAACUCCGUGCCAGCAGCCGCGGUAAUACGGAGGGGGCUAGCGUUGUUCGGAAUUACUGGGCGUAAAGCGUGCGUAGGCGGUUAUUCAAGUCAGAGGUGAAAGCCCGGGGCUCAACCCCGGAACGGCCUUUGAAACUAGGUAGCUAGAAUCUUGGAGAGGUCAGUGGAAUUCCGAGUGUAGAGGUGAAAUUCGUAGAUAUUCGGAAGAACACCAGUGGCGAAGGCGACUGACUGGACAAGUAUUGACGCUGAGGCACGAAAGCGUGGGGAGCAAACAGGAUUAGAUACCCUGGUAGUCCACGCCGUAAACGAUGAUAACUAGCUGUUCGGGUACUUGGUAUCUGAGUGGCGCAGCUAACGCAUUAAGUUAUCCGCCUGGGGAUACGGUCGCAAGNUUAAACUAANAGAUGAG